Molecule: ribosomal RNA, 400 nt
Filed under: uncultured microorganism
Description: bacterial SSU rRNA
Rfam family: Archaeal small subunit ribosomal RNA
Source: RNAcentral
GUGCACCAGGUGCGAAACCUCCGCAAUGCGGGAAACCGCGACGGGGGACCCCGAGUGCCGUGGCAACGCCACGGCUUUUCCGGAGUGUAAAAAGCUCCGGGAAUAAGGGCUGGGCAAGGCCGGUGGCAGCCGCCGCGGUAAUACCGGCGGCCCGAGUGGUGGCCGCUAUCAUUGGGCCUAAAGCGUCCGUAGCCGGGCCCGUAAGUCCCUGGCGAAAUCCCACGGCUCAACCGUGGGGCUUGCUGGGGAUACUGCGGGUCUUGGGACCGGGAGAGGCGGGGGGUACCCCUGGGGUAGGGGUGAAAUCCUAUAAUCCCCAGGGGGACCGCCAGUGGCGAAGGCGCCCCGCUGGAACGGGUCCGACGGUGAGGGACGAAGGGCCAGGGGGAGCAAAACCGGG